UUUGAAAUUUCAAUCUCUGUUUUCUUCUUCUACCUGCCUCUGCAAAUGGAAAGAAACAACAUAGAGAAGAAUUUUCCCAUUGAUAUGAAUUCAGCCACUCCACCUGAGAAGAAUGAAGCUGCUAUAGUCAUUCUGGGUUUUAAAUAACACAUUUUUUUCUAUGAUAGACAAGAAUGCUAAUAUAAUGAGUAAUUGUGCUAAAAUAUUUGCAAAGUGAAUCUUCUCAGAAACUUUGAAUCUUUUUCUGAUGCUAAAGAGUUCUACAAUGCGGAAAUCCAUCAUUCAUUAUGAGUUUCUAUUCAUGGUACUGACCUAAGGGCCAACAUACAAAGUCGAGUGAGAGACAGAGCAUGUCCUCAAGGAGCAGAUUGUCCAAUGGGGAAGAGAGAAGAGGAGUUUGGACACAGAAAGAGACACCCCAACACAUGCGCACACAAAGAGAUGACCACAUGAAGACACAAGAAGGCAGCCGUCUGUAAGUCAAGGAGGGAGGCCUCAGAAGGAACCAAGCCUGCCAACACUUUCAUCUUGGACUUCCCAGUCUCUAGAACGAUUGAAUGCAGCAACAAAGAGCUUUGUGCUGAAAGUUUUAAAAAUCACCUUUAUAAUUCCUUUAACUAAAUUCCUAGAAGUGGGAUUUUUAGGUAAGUGUAUGUAAAUGACUUUGAUUUGAUACAUCUUCUGCUAUACUAAAUCAAAAGCUAUACUGAUCUUCGGCAUCUUUCUUUGUCAGCUUCUCCACUUCAUUCUUUCCAUCAGCUGAACACCAUCUGUCAAUGGCCACUUACUUUGCCUGACUUUCUCAAGUUGUCCCUGGUUACUUCCUUGGAGACAAAAGCAACCUGUGAUGAGGUCAGAAGUAUCAUGUUCACACUAAAGAGGCAAGGCCUCUGAUGAGUAGCUGAGUGAAAUCCUAUCUCUGACCUCAGUGCUUCUGCUACCUUUCAUGAAGGCCAUCCUUUGUUCCAGCACACUGACAGAAAUAAAAAUUCUCUCUAAGCUGACAAAUGGGGUGGGUCAUUAGUGAACACUGUGACAGAUUUCAGACAUCAUACAGACCUCAUAUUGGCCUAAAAGAUAAAAAUCACAGACAAUAUAUCGUUUGGCAGCUUGAAUGACAAAACAAUGUGAUUUUAAAUGAAAAUACUUUUAAUUUGCUCCUACAAAUGAAUUAAUGAGUUUUCCUUCUACAAUCAAUUCUAUUUGCUGUAAUUUCUAAACAGCUGAUAGAUUAAAAUUAUAUGGUUAGUUAAAAUAACUAUUUUUUGUUAAAUUUUUUUUUGGCUGGGCAUGAUGGCUCAUGCCUAUAAUUCAAGCAC
Molecule: long non-coding RNA, 1319 nt
Organism: Cercocebus atys (sooty mangabey)
Lineage: Eukaryota; Metazoa; Chordata; Mammalia; Primates; Cercopithecidae
Exons: 4
Source: RefSeq, a predicted model, not a curated record